This 278-nucleotide unclassified non-coding RNA is filed under the name Euphorbia primulifolia var. primulifolia. RNAcentral's name for it is "partial external transcribed spacer". Lineage: Eukaryota; Viridiplantae; Streptophyta; Magnoliopsida; Malpighiales; Euphorbiaceae. The record is from RNAcentral.
AGAGACGGUCAUUCUUAUAUAGGGACAGCGAGAUCAUGGAGGAAACUGAAUCCCUCCACUCGCAAAGCGUUCUGCAUCCGAGAGCACAAGNGACUUCCCNUGUGCCAGAGUAGCCAAAAAAGCAUACCAGGUACACGACAGCCACUGUAUGGUUCAUCCAAUGCCGCCUUUUGACGGGGAAAAGAUGAAUAGCAUUAGGCAACAAANUUGGAUUCCGCUAUGUGGGUAUGCAACACAGAAACCCAUCCUUGCCCGACAUAGCAACAUGCCUUCGGGAC